RNAcentral lists this ribosomal RNA (403 nucleotides) under Bacteroidota bacterium. Its description in RNAcentral is "Bacteroidetes bacterium partial 16S ribosomal RNA". It matches the Rfam family "Bacterial small subunit ribosomal RNA", at positions 355 to 776 of the family's 1533-position model. The record is from RNAcentral. Lineage: Bacteria; Pseudomonadati; Bacteroidota.
UGGGGAAUAUUGCACAAUGGGGGAAACCCUGAUGCAGCGACGCCGCGUGAACGAAGAAGGUAUUCGUAUCGUAAAGUUCUGUCCUAUGGGAAGAUAAUGACAGUACCAUAGAAGAAAGCUCCGGCUAAUUACGUGCCAGCAGCCGCGGUAAUACGUAAGGUCCGAGCGUUGUCCGGAAUCAUUGGGCGUAAAGGGUACGUAGGCGGGUAAGCAAGUUAGAAGUGAAAUCCUGUAGCUCAACUACAGUAAGCUUUUAAAACUGCUCAUCUUGAGAUAUGGGAGGGAAAGUGGAAUUCCUAGUGUAGCGGUGAAAUGCGCAGAUAUUAGGAGGAAUACCGGUGGCGAAGGCGACUUUCUGGCCAUAAUCUGACGCUGAGGUACGAAAGCGUGGGUAGCAAACAGG